Molecule: ribosomal RNA, 255 nt
Filed under: uncultured Geobacillus sp.
Lineage: Bacteria; Bacillati; Bacillota; Bacilli; Caryophanales; Anoxybacillaceae
Description: partial 16S ribosomal RNA
Rfam family: Bacterial small subunit ribosomal RNA
Source: RNAcentral
CGUUGGGCACUCUAGAGGGGACUGCCGGCGACAAGUCGGAGGAAGGUGGGGAUGACGUCAAAUCAUCAUGCCCCUUAUGACCUGGGCUACACACGUGCUACAAUGGGCGGUACAAAGGGCUGCGAACCCGCGAGGGGGAGCGAAUCCCAAAAAGCCGCUCUCAGUUCGGAUUGCAGGCUGCAACUCGCCUGCAUGAAGCCGGAAUCGCUAGUAAUCGCGGAUCAGCAUGCCGCGGUGAAUACGUUCCCGGGCCUU